RNAcentral lists this long non-coding RNA (27892 nucleotides) under Lynx pardinus (Iberian lynx). The record is from RNAcentral. Lineage: Eukaryota; Metazoa; Chordata; Mammalia; Carnivora; Felidae.
UGGUGGGACAGCACCGUGUAAGGCAGACAUGUCGGGGGUCCGGGUGGUGUCGCGGCUCCUGGGCGCCCGGCGCCUGGCACUGACUAGGGCGGUGAGUCGGCGCCGUGGGGCGGGCAGGGCGCGGGGAGCCGAGGAGGGGCAGGACUUCCCACGGGGCGGAGCGGACGCCGAGUCCCCCCGGCGCCGGACCGGGACGGGGUCGCGAGGGUCUGGGGGAGGAUGCGGUGAGGAGGCCGCCCGAAGGGGUGGGGCCGACCCGGAGGGCCGCGGGACUCCUUCUGAAGCCAGCGAGUCGCGUCCCGGUGAAGGUCAUGACCCCGCUUGCCGUCCCCGGGGACCCUUCCCCAGAGUACUAAGGUCGCCCCCGCCCCAGCCUUCGGCGCGUGGGGAGGCGUGUUUGCCCGAGGUCACCCUGACAGGUGGCGGCCCGUGGGUGCCCCGGGCCUCUGAAUCCAAAAGCGCCCUUAGAUCUCCGGCGGAGGCGGGCCGGCAACCGCAGGCGCGCGCCGGCCGGGCGCUGUGCCGAUCGCCCUGGGGACGGUCCGUCGGGUGCCAGCAGCCCCGAGGACCCGGCCGGGCUCGGCCCUCCCGCCCCAGGCAGGGUAGGUGGGAGGCACGUCUGACACCGGCGCUGGCGCUUGCCUGGCAACUGUUUGCAAAACCGCGCUUCUUCGGGGAAAGCGAAGACCCGUGUUUCACACCGGGAUCUGGCAACUUUUGGACCUUCAUUUUGGGUUUUGUAUGGUGGCCUUUUGCGCACAUUAGAAAACCAGGCGAAGAACGUCAGCGCUCUGACCGCAGACCACGUUCGGGCGACGGCGCCGGGAAGUCUGAUUUCCCGUGCGUUGUCUGCCCGGACUCCGGUCAGUCGUGGAUGACCGUCAGGGUUGUGCCUUCUGGAGCCCUUGCUUACCGGAUUGUGUCAGAUGUACUCCUUACAGUUACGUCUUCAGGAUCUACCUUUUCAGGUUUUAUUUCAGCACACUAAACUUGGAGGGGUUGUUGUUUGGGUUCUUUUAUAUGAUCCGCCUGCCCACCUACUUAGUAAUGUAAUUACAGAGUGAAAAUCCCAGUGGGAACCGAGGCAUUCAACAGUAUUGACAGGAGUUAUGCCUGUAGUUAUACCUGCAAUUUUCUCCAUUUUGAAAUACAGAUACUAAAAAUUAAGUUAAAUGUGAGAAGGUUAACUCCGCCAUCCUGCCAAUGCCAGAGAACGUUUUCAAUGCUUUCUCGUGCUGCUGUGGUUGAUGCUUCCUGAGCAGAGGUCCCCACUCUCCACACCCCACCCAUCUUGGGCUCUAAGUCCACAAGCUGGAUGGGCAGUGGGAUAUUCUUCGGCAAACGUGAGCAGACUUCUUAGUGCCUCCUGCUUGUUAAGUGCAGUGACCAGUAACUGGUGGUGCUGGGAGAAGAGCUAAACAUGUGUGUCCUCGGUCACCCCAGCGUUCUUGUGCAGACUAAGACCCCUCCAGUCUGUGGAACUCCCUUGACCACCUGCCUGCCCUUUGUUUAUGACCUUGUUGUCCUUUAUGUAAACUGGACUAGAAUUCUAGCUCUGAGCUCUGAGCUGCAAGUGAGAAUAAGAUUCUGAGCACCACUGGUCAGAGUGUGUAAACCUGUACUUUUGUAUUGGCUUGAUUGGAAGUUAUCUUGGUUGAAUCAACUAUUAGCUGCCAGCAUUUACCCUUCUUUUUACCUUGAUGAAGAUAGCUUUUCCUGUGGAAAUUAAUUCUGCCCCCAAGCAGUAUAUGUAGUGGAAUUUAAGAUUGGCAAAAACAAAAGCAUCAACUUAGAACAACAACAACGAAAUGUAUGAUCACCAACUGAGAAAUGUGCACGGAGAGUAGAUGAUGAGGGUAGUUUGAAUAAAAUCCACAGAGAAUUUUUCUUGAUUUCAUUUUGUUCAAUUCUCUGGUGUUUCCAAGGCAGUUUAUAUUUACAGCUGCUUUCAAGUUGCAAAAUCAUCAAACCUAUUUUGCGUUGGUUUCAUUUUUAGUUAUCUUAAUGCACUGACAUAAUUUGCAGACUGUUCUGGUGUAUUGAAAGGAAAAGUAAAAGCAAGGUCCUUAAAUAGUUGCUGGUUAAUUGCUUCAGAUGAGAUUUUUCAAAUUCUUUAACAUGGAUAUCCAAAGUACUGUUCUAGAGUAAGUCAGUUUUUCUUUGAAUGUAUUGUUUUGAAUUUGGCUUAAUGAUGUAUCUAGAAUUACAUUAUUUAGGCCAUUGUGGUAACCUUUUUUGUUUUCCUUUUUGGGGUAAUUGUACCGCUGUGGCAUUCAUUUCUGCAUUCUGUGGGAUGUUUUUCCUGGUUCACUGGAAAAAUUGUGGCUUGGUUUUGAUACGUAAUCUGGAUAUGCAUCUUAUUUUGGAGUCCCAGAGAUUUUUCCUAAGGCUCCUUACCUAGGGGGGAUGUACUGAAUCUGGUACCAGCCAGGCAGACCAGAGUUCAGACCCUGGAUAGACUCCAUUUCUCUUUCAUGAGGGUUCUGGGAGGUAGCCUGUGACGCCCUGGUGUGGUGAUCAUUCUAGCCAGGACCUACACCUACAGCCUGUGCUCGAUAAUCUUGUGAAUUGUAUUCUAAGCAUCCCUGUUUUAAAAACCUUUAAACUUCUAAUGAAAAUAAUUACACAUAGUUAUAAAAAAAAAAGUCAAGGAAUACAGAGGCUUUAUAAAUGAAAAGGAUUGAGACCCUCUCCUAACCUCAGACCUGUUCCCCAGUGAAAUCACUUCUGAAUUGUUUCUGUUAUUGGCCGCUGGUGUUUACCUCCAUGUCUCUAGCUAAUGUGCAGGCUUACGUUCAUCCAUUUUGGACUUUGACUUGUGGCUCUGAAUGAGGACUCAGUUCGCUUAAACCAUCUUCCCCCAUCCUCAGUUCUUCCCAUGGCCUUCCAAGGCACUUUCAGAGCCUUUAUGGGCUGCUUUUCUUAUUAUACAGAUUGUACUUACAAAUAGUUUCUUGUCUGCAAUUCAUAGGUGAACGCUAUCAGAUGGGGACCUGUACUUCGCUAGAUUAAGGGUUUCAAUAUCUCUGCCCUUCUCUUCAGUUUUCUCCCUUUUACCAUUUAAGUCAUUCACUUGUGCUUUCAUGUCAUUAAAAGCUCUGUUUCUUUUAAUUCUGCCUCCAAGGCAGAUUUCCUCACGCUUCUUUACGUUUCCCUGUUGGAAAAUGUUUGAUAGUUUUACUUCAAAAAAUGUUAAAUAGUUUUAUUUAUAGACAAAUUGGGUUAAUUUUGGGCUCUCCAGAUUCUAAAAUUGCUCCUCAAAUCCGAUUUGGAUAAAAAGCUAGUAUUCUAUUUUCCACAGGGAGAUAGUAUGAUAAUUUGUUAGAGAUUUCAUUUUAACAGCUGCCAGUGUUUGAGAUGGCCGUGUGUGUCUAUCUUUAUUUAACGUGAACAUCCUAGAAAGAAGAAAUAAAUACUUAGGGAAUCUCACUGUUACUAUUUUACUUUUUUACAGUUCAACUUAAGCAGGUAAGUUUAAUGAUCAGAACAAAAAUGGGAUCGCUUAGGAAAAACUAUAUAAAAGACGCUUUACAGUAUAAUAUGUCCUUUUCAUGUUGAUUAUUUUUAUAGGAUUUAAUAUGUGAUUAUUCUUCAGUUUUCUGAAUUAAAAUUGUUCAGGUGGCCAUAAAAUCUGGAAACAUAGACAAAUAUACAUAAUAAAUAGUUUACUCAUAUUCCAACAAAUGUUCAAUGAAUGUGCUGUUCCUCAUUAGCAUUUCAUACUUUAACAAGUUAUGCAAAACUGCAUGUGCACCAAAGCACUAUUUCCAUCAAUCCUCGUACAUCCACCUACAACGAAUCGCUUGUGGGGAUUUGUGUGUCUCACUUUCCCUGAAUAAACGUGUGCCUUUAGCACACCCAAGGUGUAAUUAAGGAAGAAGUGUCUGUCAUCUGUGUUUCUGGAUUGUGUGGUCCUGUUUUUGGUUUUGUUUUUUUUUUUAAGUUUCACCUACUAUAAGUCUUAAAAACAUUUUUGACCAUUCGUAUUAUACCAAGAAAAAAGAUGAAUACUAAAUACAAGCUAAUGGAAAAACAAAAAUUCAUUUGUUUUACCUUUCUAUUCCACAUCACAACAUUUUACUGAAAAUGAAGGGAUUUUUCAUCUAUAGAUAAAAGACUCUAAAUGGUACUUAGGUUGUUUUACAAGUUUGAUUUUAAAAUCGUUUAGAAUUCACAAUGGGUCUUACACACAAUGAUUUCAAUAAAUCAGGCACUCCAGAGCACAAUUGGAGGUGUAACAAUUAUGUGAUGACUUCUUAACAGUCCAAGGAGAUAAAGACCUUUUUUUCAAAUAUGGAAAGAAAUUAAUCUUUCUGCAGUAUUAACCCCUAAAAGCUAUCUUCCUUUAUAGACUACAAUAUUAUUGUCAAUUUAAUAUACUUUUAUUUUUUUUAAUCUUAUUUUUAAUGUUUGUUUUACUUUUGAGAGACACAUCCAGUGCGAACGGGGGAGGGACAGAGAGAGAGGGAGGCGCAGAAUCCUAAGCAGGCUCCAGGCUCUGAGCUGUCAGCACAGAGCCUGAUGCAGGGCUUGAACCCAUGAACCGUGAUAUCAUGACCUGAGCCGAAGUCAGAUGCUUAUCUGACUGAGCCACCCAGGCACCCCCAUAUACUUUUAAAAAGAACUCCCAGAGGAAGAAAUUUCUGGAGGUUUUCCCAAAUAUAUACAGCUACUUUUUCUGUCAUGCUUACAACAUCUGCAAAGUACGGAAUGUUCAAAUGCAGAUUCUUAUGAUCAAGGGGCUCCAUAAUUGCCUCCUCCAUAUACUCUUUGAGGUCAGUCACUUUCAUAACUAUUCCUGUAAUAGGAUCAAUCUCUCCAUGUACUGUCACCACAACUUUAUAAUUGUGCACGUGGCCAUUUGGAUUGUUGGCAUUCCCAAACAAUUUCAAGUUUUCUUCAUUACUCAGAGAUGUGCUGUGGAGCCAGUAGGUCGCUCUGAGGGAGAUGAGGUGGGACAGUUGCGUGGUGUUCUUGGCUUGCCUUCCCACUUGGUUGGUGGUGGGGCUGGGACAGGCUCUCUGUUUCUAUUUUGAUUUCAAUUUGGUAUUGUAAAAUGUAUUGUUCUUUUUUGGAACUAUUACCUUUAUCUUGUACUUCAUUAAAAUUUCAUGAACAUUUGUAUUUUGCUGACUUGGUUAUUUGUUAAGAUGUGAUUUUUACCAUUUAAAAAUUAUACUAAAGCAGAAGAAUAUUCUUUUUAAGUUUUUUAAUUCGUUUACUGGACAAAAAGUUGACUUAUGUCAAUAAAAACAAAAGUACUUAUGGGCGCUUGGGUGGCUUAGUCGCUUAAGCAUCUGACUUUAGCCCACAUCAUGGUCUUGUGGUCCAUGAGUUCGAGCCCUGUGUUGGGUUCUGUGCUGACAGCUAAGAGCCUGGAGUCUGCUUCAGAUUCUGUGUCUCCCUCUCUCUCUGCCCCUCCCUGGCUUGUGCUCUCUCUUUCUCAAAAAUAAAUAAACAUUAAAAAAUACAUAUAUACUUAAAGUUGAAAUUGGAGAAUUCAAGAAUAUUGCAUUUAUCAGUUCAGGUCUACUUAGAAAUUCAAGAAACUUCUUUGUAAUUGGAACUGUUAGCAUAAAGUCAACUAUUUGUGGCAGGCAUCAUUUGGUCUCAGUGCUUAAGAAAGUCUAAAAAAAUAUUUUUAAGUUAUUCUUGAGAGAGAGAGCGAGAGGUGGGGAGGGGCAGAGAGAGAGAGAGGGAGAGAGUGAGCAUCCCAAGCAGGCUCUGCACUGUCAGCACAGAGCCCAGAUGCAGGCCUAGAACUCAUGAACUGUGAGAUCGUGACCUGAGCCAAAACCAAGAGUCAGUUGCUUAACUGACUGAGCCACUCAGGUGCCCCUAAAUGCUAAAGAAAGUCUAGAGGUUGGAGCCACCUGCUCCAUUUGCAAGCGGCCAAGCCCUCCAGCCUGGCCUGAGGCCAUUAAUCUUCAAAGAAAGUCCUUCUGUUCAAAACCACUCAGAGUUCAUUUUGUAUUUUGCCAAAUUCUCCUCCCUGAAUUCUCCACUUGUUUGUCCUACAGAAUAAUUUUUUUACCCCACAGAAUAAAUAGCAUCUCUUCCAAACUGCAGAAUACUCGAAGACAUCUCUCAUAUCCCCUUUGUCAUUGUUAAACAUACUUAAUUCCUAAAACUGUUCAUGAAAUUGCUAAGACUUCAUUUUAUCAGUAGCCGUCUAAAAUGCAGUCAUAGAACAGAAAGACAUGCCUUAUAAGUUGGUUUUCAUAUAAAGAAGAUGGCCCCUCAGGCUGGGCUGUGAUUUCAUUAAUACCAAUUUUCUUGAGUAAAUGUGUUCAUAGGGUGGAACAUUUAAGCCAAAACUUGGAGAGUUGGAGAGAUUAGCCAGGGAAUGGCCAGGGACAAGUGUUCAGACAGGGAACAGCACCCUGGAGUAUGACAGAGGAGAGGGGAUGUGGCUACAGCCCAGCGCAGGUGUGGAGAGUGGUGAAGCAGGAGCAUCUCUAGGCCUGGAGUCUUCACAUUCACAGUGAAGGGUUGGUCCCGCUGGUACCCAGUGUCAGGGUGAGCAGUAGAGCCUCUUGUAGAAGAUGGAUCUCCCAAUACACUGUCCCAGGCCUUUUCCAGUGAACCACAAAACCUUGCAGACGUGUGGUGCUAUAGUGUGAAGAGGGUCAUGAUGGAUCCAGUAAAAGUGCUUCAUUGUAAACUACCACUUUCACAAAAUAGAUGGGUUUCCCAUUGUCCACUAAAAACCAUAAAUUAAGAAAUGAACGUGACAUUGUGUCCUUUUCAUUUCCUGCUGAGUCUGUGAGUGUCCUGCUUGGAGACAAGCUUCAUCUAGAAGAGCUUUUCUCGGAGUGCCAACUCCUUGCCACUUGGGCCUGCCCUGGGUCCUUAGUCCGCCUCUACCCUUCAGGGUUAAGUAGAGGACCCCAGGUGAGCUGUCUAGGUGAAGGAGCAGCUGGAUACAUAAAAAGGUUAAUGACUUGGGAAAUUUUGAUGAUUUGUUAUUCUUCUAAGACACUUAAGUGCUCUCCAUCUCUCCAUCUCUGUCUCAGCAGUGGCCCGCGACAUGGCAGGCAGGCACCUGCGGUUUUCACUUCACUAUUGAUGGGAAUAAGAGGUCUUCAGCUAAAGUUUCAGAUUCAGUAAGUUUACAACUUUUUGUUCCCUUAUAAAUGAUAUGCUUGUCUUAGAGGAAUAAUGAUCUAUGCCAGUCUUCAAUAUAUUGGAGUAAUACACAGGUCUUAUUUAAAGGAAAACAUUCUGGUUCCAAUAAUGCUCUAUUUUUAGUGUAUAGCACUUAACUGUAGUACAAAUGUAAGCAUAGUUACUAACAUUUUUUGCUUAUGGUUCUUAAGUAUCUAUAAACCAGAUUAAAAUUUAAAGCAGCAAAAUAAUAAAAUACCAGUGACCACUGAACAUUAUUCAUUGUGACAGAUGACAUAGGACCCUGAAGCCACUUGUGUGUAGGCUCUUGGUGUUUACUGGGUCUGUUCUGUCCUCUGCUGAAGGCACUAAAAUUUGUUUACAAAUUCUUUUCUCACAAGCUCACAAUAGUUACUGAAUACUAGUUGGCACCUUCUCAGUCCAACACAAACAUGGUCCUGAAACCGGGGGGUGGUCCUCAGUGCUGAGGCAGUUGCCCAGAUGAAUCGGAAUGUGCCUACCUAAUUAAAACAACAUACUGGGGCACCUGGGCGGCUCAGUCGGUUAAGCAUCCGACUUCAGCUCAGUUCAUGAUCUCGCGGUUUGGGAGUUGGAGCCCCGCAUCAGGCUCUGUGCUGACAGCUUUCGAUUCUGUGUCUCCCUCUCUCUCUCUGUCCCUCCCCUGCUUGCACUCUGUCUCUCUCUCCUUCAAGAAAUAAAUAAACAUUAAAAAAAAAAAAUUUACCUUUUCUUGAGAAACUUGCUGACCGCAGGUGGAGAAUCAUGAUCUAUAUACUGCAUUAUGAGCUUAGAUUCACACAAGCAUGUGUAUGAAUAUAUGGCUGUCAACGGAAAAAGAUGAACAGAAAGGAUAAUGGAGUAGGAAAGCCGUAUUUAGAACUAAUAUUUUGAUUUGUGUCGUUGCUUUCCUUUGCUUCCACGGUUCCCUGCUUUGAGGCUGUACCUCUUGUUUUCAACAUUUCACUUCAUGGUGGGUGUCCCAGGUGCUAGGAUGCGUGCUCCCUCUUCGUCGGGUCUGUGUUUCGGUCCUGUCGGUGUGGGGUGUGCCAGCCACACACUCUGGGUCCUGGCACAGGGUGGAGGCCCCUCUGCUGUGGUUGCUCUUUCAUCGCUUCUUCCAUUUUGUCUGAGCUCUUGCACUGCACCCACCGUCCCAAUGUGUGGCAUAGGUAAAUGGGUGGUUGACAGGUGAAUUGUUCCUUUCCAGAUUUCUACGCAAUACCCGGUAGUGGACCAUGAAUUUGACGCGGUGGUGGUAGGCGCUGGAGGGGCAGGCUUGCGAGCUGCGUUUGGCCUUUCCGAGGCAGGGUUUAACACGGCCUGCGUCACAAAGCUCUUUCCUACGAGAUCACACACCGUUGCAGCCCAGGUAAGAGAAAGGGGCCCCCUUAAUGGUUUUGGCGCCUGCACAGCAGUGCUCAGUCUUCUGCCACAGGCCUUCUCACUGCACGCCAGCCAUGUUCCUGUCUCUCUGCUCCUUGCACCCACCUGGCUUACUCGCCUUGGGAGUGUGUUCCCACACUGCCUCCACCCCCACUGCCGGAGUCACUCCUAGGGCCUCUUAUCGCUCUGCUGCUCCAGUGACACUCAGGUCUUCUCUGAGCACCCACCUAAUCCUCUGGCCCCCAUCAUAGUUUGUCUUCACUGUACUUUCCCAAUCUAAAAUGAGCCUGUCUCUGGACUGAUUCUCUUGGCCCUGCUGCAUCCUUGGCAUGGGCCUCGUUAAGUAUGAUGAUGAUGAGCUUUGCUGGUGGCAUGAAUGUGCAGGACAGAAGAACAUUGGCCUUUAAAUGCUCAAAAUUUAGGGAAGAGGAUAAAAGUAAGAUGAAAAAGUACACAGUGAUUUUAUAAUUUUGUUUUCUUUCCUGGCACACCGUAGGUGGUACGCAGGUUGUAUAUAGUAUUCCAAAACUGGAAUGAAUUGAACUGUUUUUUCCAGUAUUUGGAACAUAUUUCCUCAUAGAGAUAGCAGAGUGUGGGGUAACUUUCCAGGAACCAGUAAAAGCCACCCUAAUUACUGUUGUAGCCUGUAUUCAGCAUGCAGCAACAUUCUUCAGGCACUUUGCUACACAGAUACUUUGUUCUAAAACUAUGUGUUAUAAACUGAAAAAUAAAUAAUACAUACUUUUGAAGAUUACAUUGUGUCUAAAAGGAAAAAUGGAUGUAAACAUAAGUCUAAAUAAUGAGAAAUAAUAGUAUAUUCAGGUAGUGCAAUAUUAAAACAAUAAAAAGUUAGAAAUGGAUAGCUUACCUUGAAUGCUGGUUGGAGAAAGUAAGGUUUAAUUGGGGGGAUAAGACAGGUGGGGACUGGGCAAGUCUAAAGUGUACUCCUGGGGGGGGCGGGGCACAUGGCUGGCUCAGUCAGUAAAGCGUGCAACUCUUGAUCUCAGAGUCGUGAAUUAGAGCCCUGGGUUGGGUAUAAAGAUUGCUUUUUAUUUUUCUUUGAGUAGGCUCUGUGCCCAGCAUGAGGCCCAGCAUGGGGCUUGAACUCUCGACCCUGAGAUCAAGACCUGAGCUGAGAUCAAGUUGGACACUCAACCGACUGAGCCACUGAGGCGCCCUGAGAUUACUUUAGAAAAACAAAAUUGUAUUUCUUGGGACUCCUGGAAGACCAGCUGUCUGUGGCCCUGAUUCUUACUAGUAGUAGCAAUAAAAUAAUAGCAUGGACAUGUGCACUGGGCCAAGUAUUUAGUGUUAUUUUAAACUAGGUUUCUCUCUUCUGCUACUACUCUGGUACUUAACAGUUUUUACUAGGACUGUGUUUGGGUUUACAAUCGGUGGGGUCGGAGAAGGAGGAGGAAAUAACUUGUGACUUUUGCUGCUUGUCUUGUUAGGGUUCCUGGCUUUGUGCUGGUGACUCUUUUCUUGAUAACUGAAACAUAAUGGGAAACUGAGGCACAGCAGCACCAAGCGGGGAAAGAAUUCCUGCAUGGGUCUGCUUGACUCAGAAGCUUGAUUGAGGAACAUUUGCAAAAAAGAGGGAAGUCAGAAAAUGUGCCUUUUCUUCUCAAAAAGAGAUGAGUAAUCCGGUUUUAAGUUGCGGAGGAAAAGUGUGAGUGUUACAUUUGUCCCUGUACUGCCAUUUUCUGUGACUCUGAGAGACAGACACGGUAGAGAGAAUGUGACUCUGAGUUUAGAGUUUAUUCCUUGACCGUAAGUACUUCUUUAACACAUGUCCAUAAAUGCCACUGGGAACAUUUUGUCAUAAAAUUAUCCCAGAUGGAUUUGCUCAAUACCUUUUAUGUGCCAGGUUUGGAGGUGACGAGCAUUGCUCAUAAAACCGCACUUAACCCUCCAGAUGGCUCUCGAGUUCAGCUUCAUGUCCCUUCAUGGGUAAGGGCACUGAGGCUGAGGGAGGUAAGAUUUGGCGUCUGUCGUGCCUCUCCCUGCUCAGGACGGUCCUGUAACCAACCAGACUGCAGUCAGGUCCCUCACAUGCCGUUGUUGUCAAAAUUAGUUGGUUUUCUCUGAAUCCAGUUUUGGGCAGUGGGUGGAAGGGGGAUGGGCCUGGAAGGUCCAGGGUUCCCUUUCGUAGCUUGUAAGUCUGCCCUGUGUUUACAGGGAGGGAUCAAUGCUGCUCUGGGGAACAUGGAGGAGGACAACUGGAGGUGGCACUUCUACGACACUGUGAAAGGCUCCGACUGGCUGGGGGACCAGGAUGCCAUCCACUACAUGACAGAGCAGGCCCCUGCUUCCGUGGUAGAGGUACUGUCCUUGCAUGGUCUGUUUCUGGUAGAAAAGAGAGGUCGAGGCAAAUGUGGUCAGCCCAAGGAAUGGUAACCAGUUGAUGUAACAAGGGAAAUCUUUCCUAUCAUUAACCAUUCAGUUCAUUUAAUAACAAAGUUUUUCUCUUUUCCUGAAGUGUUGAAAUUUUCAUAGAACGUAUUGGUUUGGGUUUACAGGUUUAUGUUGAAAUUGUUUAGUGUAAAUUAGCGAUGAAUAUCCCGAUUCCUUCAAGGUCCUGGGUGUUUGUUUUCACAUUUCACAGCUGGAGAAUUAUGGCAUGCCAUUCAGCAGAACUGAAGAUGGGAGGAUCUACCAGCGCGCUUUUGGUGGACAGAGCCUCAAGUUUGGGAAAGGCGGGCAGGCCCAUCGGUGCUGCUGUGUGGCUGACCGCACUGGCCACUCGCUGCUGCACACGUUGUAUGGAAGGGUGAGGCCACCCUGGGUGCAUGGGGUGACAGGACAUGGUCUGGUUAGGCCAGGCAUGUGGUGAUGAGCUGGAAACAGGCCACUCUGGGACAGGUCAGAAGGUCAGCAUGUCAGCCCUGGGGUUGCUUAAUAAACAGCAGACUAACAUGGCAGGAUGUAUAUUUGUUAAUUGUUAAUUUGAAAGUGUCUAUUUUAGAAAAUUAAAUUGAUCUGCCAUACCGAAAGUAUAAGAACAGAGCAAGUAUUUUAGGACUCAGCACCUCUGAGUCCCUGAACUAAUUGAUUUAAUACUUAAGUGUUCAAACUGGACUAAGGUUUGGGGGACAGUAGUUACUGGAUAAUCAGGGCCUACUUUGGCAUAGCCAAGUAAUCAAUAUUUGGAAUAACUCUGAUUCAUAAUAUUCAGUAUUCUGAAUUCUUGCUCUCAAAUGGGGACAGAUUCUUGAUUUGCAAAUGUUAGGACCCUGGUGGCAGCUUCGGCUGAGUGCAUUGACACACGUGUGACAGGAUCUGCCCAUCCUGCAGCAUACUGUGUCAUGUUGGGGAGCUGGUGGUUUUGUGAGAGCCCUUCAUGUUUACUGAGCAGCUACAGCAUCUUCUCUGACAUGCAUGACAUGUGUAUGUCCUUCUUAUGGUCUGAUCUGAUCAUACAGCUGAGAGCAGGGUACCUUUCGUGUUGAUCCACAACAGCAUCAGCACUAUGGUUGAUGCAAGUAAAGUCUGUGGCUUCUUUUGCAGCCCAGGGUUUACCCUGUCCAUUUGUUACACACCACAUCAGAGCCCUUGACUUGUUCAUAUGAGCAGUGUUGCUGAAAUGUUAGUUUAACACCCUAAAUGCAAUUGAAACUGUGGGAUUCUUUUUUCUUUCAUGUUUUUUAGUCUCUGCGAUAUGAUACCAGCUAUUUUGUAGAGUAUUUUGCUUUGGAUCUCCUGAUGGAAAAUGGAGAAUGUCGUGGUGUUAUUGCGCUGUGCAUAGAAGACGGGUCCAUCCAUCGCAUAAGAGCAAAGAACACUGUUGUAGCUACUGGGUAGGAGUCUAACUUGUAUUUAGUUUUUCUGCAGGAAAGUUGGGUCUCCGAGUUUCUUUAAAAAAAAAAAAAAUGGAGGCAGUGACCUAACCCAGGAGCAUAAUAAGCUUUGCCAGUCUCAGUUCCAUGUCUCCAAAGGGGACAAUCAUAGCACCUGCCUCAGGUGGGUGAGGAAGUAUCUGUCUUCAGUUUGCACCUGAGAGGACCCUUGAGGAAACGGGUCUGGAGAGUCACGUGACACUUCCUGGCUUAACCUGUCUUUUGCUUUAGUGGACACUGUGUUUAUACUGAUUUCUGGUGUAGAUAAGUGCUGUUUGUUCACAUGAUGAAACUAAAUUACAUUUCUUACAUUGUCAGUCCGUUAUUUUAACCCUUUACAAGAGUGAGUCCAUAAAGCAAAAAUUUCAGCAUUAAAGCAGCACACGCUUCUCAGGGAGGUCGUUCAGAUAGCAUGAAAGUGCCUUGAAGUAUAAACGAGAGUGCCUCCUCCGUCUCCCAGGCUCCCGCCCCAGUUGCCCAGGGUAGCGCGUGCAGACAGCACCUGUCACGGUGCUGCGGGCUGCUCUGUCCGCUCUGGUGCCACUAGAAAGGCGAUCCUGAUGGGACGCCAUGUGUCACUGCUUUCUCUCUGCUGGCCCGUCUGUUUUCCAGAGGCUACGGGCGCACCUACUUCAGCUGCACAUCUGCCCACACCAGCACCGGUGACGGCACUGCCAUGGUCACCAGGGCAGGCCUUCCCUGCCAGGACUUGGAGUUCGUUCAGUUUCACCCCACAGGUAGGACGGGACCACUUUCAUGGGGUCAGGACUCUCAUACCUCUCGAUGCCCCUCUGUAGUCCCACACACUAGCACAUUCUCAGAGCCCAGCUUGUCAUUUGCUCAAGGAAGUUUUUUCCAUUUCUCCCGAGGCAGUUUAGGCCACCACCUUGCCUUGGCGAUACCUGCUCCAGUCGUAAAGCUGGAGCUUUAUGUAAAGACUGUUCAGUGUCCCUCUCCCCAACUCGAUUGUCAGCUCCCGGAGGUGGGGACAGGUGCUGCAGUUCACAGUGCCUGGCACAUAGUAGGACCUCAUCAGUGUUUCCUGAGUGAAUGUCCCGAGAGCUGUUGAUCAGAGUUGUGGCAUGGGCAGAUUCCAGUGUUACAGGGAAAACAUCAGGCUGUCCAGUAGAGUAUAAAGUCGGAACGAGCUAUGGCAGAUGCGGCCCCCUGAGAUGUUAAUGACUGUGGUGCCAUUUGUGGGCACAUUGAGCUCAUCUUGCGUCCUCAGACAGUUGAGUGUGCAAAUGUGGAGUUCAGACGGGAGGUCUAGGCUGCAGGUGCAGAAUUGAGAGAGUUCGUUAUUCAGAUAUGAAUUGGAGAGAGAGAUCUGCCUCUUGGGACAGGCAAGUCUCAAUCUGGACUUUGUUUCUAGUUGCUUUUCUGACCUGUCAACUGAGGGGACACCACACUUUGUGGAAGUAGCCUCCCGCCAUGCUAAAGAACCAGACCUGGGUUUUCUCUUUGCUCUGUCAGUAUAUUUUUUCUGAUCCCUGGCAGGGAUAAAAAGUAAAAAAUGUUUUAGGUAGUUUUUUAAUACUGGUUUUGGGGGUUUUUGUUUUGUUUUAAAGUUUACUUAUUUAUUUUGAGAGAGAACAUGUGAGCGGGAGAGGAACAGAGAGACCAGGAGAGAGAGAAUCCCAAGCAGGCUCCGUCCUGUCAGCAUGGAACCUGACUUGGGGCUCUGGCUCCCAAACUGUGAGAUCAUGACCUGAGCCAAAAUCAAGAGUCAAAACACAAUCGACUGAGCCACCCAGGUGCUCCAGGAAAUUCUUGUUCUUUUUUUUUUUUUUCUUUUAAAAGUUUGUUUAUUUUUGAGAGAAAGAGACAGUGUGAGCAGGGGAGGGGCACAGAGAGAGAGAGACAGAAUCCGAAGCAGGCUCCAGGCCCUGAGCUGUCAGCACAGAGCCUGACUGGGGCUCGACCUCAGCAACCGUGAGGUCAUGACCUGAACUGAAGUCAGAUGCUUAACCAACUGAGCCACUCAGGUGCCUCUGCUUUCUUGUUCUUAAAGCAAGAAAACUCUUCUGGUGUGGUAAUGACAGUUUUAACUUUCAGGUGACAUUGACAUAGGUGUUUGUCUCCUUGUUAAAAUUCAGGUGCUUGGCAUUCCUUAUUGAAGGGACAGUGAGAUUAAGGGCACAGACCUGCCUAGUUGCCAGGUGUGCGUUUGGCUCUGCCUUCCCAGCUGCAGAACACUGACAAGUUCCUAAGCUAUCAUUGCUCUCUCUGAAAAUAGGGAUAUUUCCUGGGGUUGUUACAAAACUUAGAGUUGUAUACAGCAAGUACAGUAUAAGUAUGAACGGUGGUAAUUAUUGCUGUUGUUAACCAGUUUUUAUUUUUUUAUUUUUUUUUUUAAGUUUUUAUUUUUAUUUUCAAGAGACAGAGAGAGACAGAGCAUGAGUGGGGGAGGGGCAGAGAGAGGGAGACACAGAAUCCAAAGCAGGCUCCAGGCUCUGAGCUGUCGGCACAGAGCCCAAUGCGGGGCUCAAACCCAUAGACCGUGAGAUCAUGACCUGAGCCAAAGUCGGACACUCAACCGACUAAGCCACCCAGGCGCCCCAUUAACCAAUUUUUAGAUACGAAUUUUCCAAGCUGGUUUUUCUUACCUAGUCACAAUUUCAUGCUACAAAAGAACAUUCUGCAAUUAAAACAAACCUGAGAUAUUUAACUCAUGCUUGGUUGUGCUGAAAGCUGAAAAGCUGUUGGAAUUGGAAUAUUCAGCCAAGCUGUGUUGUUACUACAUUAGCUGCCCUUUCUCCUCACUGCUGCUUCAUUGGUGCUUUUUGUUGUCAAAACUUCCUACUAUUCCUUACUUAACCUGUCCUUUGUCUUAUUCUGUUGUGAGCAUCAUGCCCCUUGCAUACCCUUUUCCUUUCCACCCCCAGAAACGUAUUGGAAAAAAAUUUGCAUUUGAAAUAUUGACCUAGCAAUUGUUAGGUUAUAAUCAUCUAAUUAACUGGGUUCUUUGCAGGUAUAUAUGGUGCCGGUUGUCUCAUUACAGAAGGGUGCCGUGGAGAGGGAGGCAUUCUCAUUAACAGUCAAGGCGAAAGAUUCAUGGAGCGAUAUGCCCCGGUUGCAAAGGACCUGGCAUCCAGAGACGUCGUGUCUCGGUCCAUGACUCUGGAAAUACGUGAAGGAAGGUCUGUGUCAUUCUAUCCAAAGGUGUCUGAGUGCACACACACACAUGCACACCCUCCUUUCUCUUGGGUGGCUGCUAUUCAAGUCUACAUGUGCACCUGGGCUGGUGUGGCUUCUGUGUGAGUUUUAGCAACUCACCUACCCCACCCAACUCUGAGUAGGCUGCCUCUCCUCCCCUCUGAUGGUUGUUUGUCAAUUUAUGAUAUCCCUCUAAAAACCUACAUUUUGGGAAGUUAAGCUGGUUUGACUUCAGUCUCUCUCAAAUCUGUGGAACAUCAAUUGUGUGUAUGAGUGUUAUGAUAGAGACAGACACUCUGUGUGGGGGAGCAAGACACACAUGCCCACAACCUAAGUUAGCAUAUGGGCCUUCGGUGCUGUUUGGGGACCCACAUGCGUUCGAGACCUUCACUGUGCAGGCUCUUGAGUGCCAGUGCUGCCUUACGAUGGUGAUCUUUCUUGUAUCUUUGAUGUUAUAACUUCUAGAGAUUUUAUAUUUGGAGUGUUUGCAUUAAAAGGACUUUCUAAUGCAUUUACCAAGGAAAACAGCUAAUUGUGACUUCCUAAGACUAGAGUAUGAGCUCAGUGAGGGCUGGAAGUCUGUCCAUGUUCUGGCUGUGUCCUACCACAUUCAGUCUACCCUGUCACAGAGCAGGUGCUCAGAGGAGAUGUGAAGAAUGGAUGGCCACAAGUGAAGGGAAAUUUUGUACAGCAUAAAAAAAUGUAAACUCAUAGUCUCACAUUUUCUAUAAUUGCCGUUUUUUGCCUCACACCGUGAUGUCCUUUUCCACCAGAGGCUGUGGCCCUGAAAAAGAUCACGUCUACCUGCAGUUGCACCACCUACCCCCAGAGCAGCUGGCCAUACGGCUGCCUGGCAUUUCAGAGACGGCCAUGAUCUUCGCAGGUGUAGAUGUCACCAAGGAGCCCAUCCCCGUCCUUCCCACCGUGCAUUAUAACAUGGGCGGCAUUCCUACCAACUACAAGGGGCAGGUGACCAAACCAGGACCCUUCCACAGUGGGAAAGAGGGUGGGAAUGAUACAGGUGCCCUUGCGAGCUCAGAAGACCGACGUUUUCCUUAGAAGGCACUGUGUUGUUGUACAGGCUGCACUUCCCUUGAGUAGAUGCUGCCAGAGGGCAGGGGGCUCGGCCACCUUUCAGCUUUCACUUUUCACUCCACAGUGAUGAGUAGUUACUGAUAACUUACUGAUCCCUCCAUAGUAGACAGCCAUAGAUGUAAUAUCAUUGUUUUUCCCAGCUUAUAAUUUAUUUUACCGUAUGAUCUCUUGUUACUUUUACUGCAGCCUUGUAAAUUGUAUUCUCUUUACAACAAGUACCUUCGAGGGUUUGUAGUUCACCCAGAGCUUUUUGGUUCUUGACUUUUUUGGCCUGUCCUUAGGCGAGGUGACUGGAGAUUACGUUCAUAGAUGAGUAAUAGGCUGGAAGCAUCUGAGUUACAACUCAAGUCUGCCCUACUCCCUUCCCUUCAUUUGAAUCCAGAGUCAGAGUGAGGGAGUAGGGGAUCAGUUAGAGGUGGUGAGUGAGGUUUCUCGUGAGCAGUAGGUGUGGGAUUAAAAUCACAGGUGCUGCCACAUGGGAUCCUUUGAUCUCUCUUGGCCUGCGGUGGCUGAGUGUCUGGGUGCAGAGGGCGGAGACUGGACUGACACAGAGAGUUCCCUGUAGGUGAGAGCAGAUCUGGCCUUCACCUGCCCUCCUCCCUCUGCCCCUGCAUGCAGACACCCCACCGCAGGAAGCAGUCCUGUGCAGACUUUGCUCCUAAGUCUUCAGUCUUCCUUCCACAGGUUCUGAGGCAUGUGAAUGGCCAGGAUCAGAUCGUGCCCGGCCUGUAUGCCUGUGGGGAGGCUGCCUGCGCCUCCGUGCAUGGUGCCAACCGUCUUGGGGCAAACUCACUCUUGGAUCUGGUUGUCUUUGGUCGGGCGUGUGCCCUGAGUAUCGCGGAGUCCUGCAGACCCGGUAUGUGUUUCUCCAGGCUGUUUCAGGAGGCAAGAGGUUGCCAUGUCUUGAUUUGUAAUUGGAAAUUUGUUUAGUGAUCAUGGAGGGGGUAGUCUCUUUUUACCCCCUAUAAGUGAGGAAACAGAGCAAUCAGAGAUUUAUAUGGUGAUAGACGAGACUAGACACAGGUUGGGUGAGGGUCUUAACAAUUAAGAAGGUAACCUGGUUUUGGUCAGGUUCUGUCCUAUAGUCCUUGUGUUCUGCUUAGAAAAGUCAUUGUUAGGGAGUUAUUUUAAGGGGAGGUUUAUAACAUAGUUGCUUGCUCAAUAUAAAUUACUUAUUUGUAGUGAAAUAUUUUAAACAGGUAUGACGAAAGAGUAGUUUUCAGUACUUAUGGAAAAGUAAUUUAGAUUCUAAAAACAAAAUAUAAAUACCCUAUUAAAGCAGAAAGGGAGGACGUAAUGUACACAAAACAGAGGAUUGGGUCAUAUCCGUCCCUGCAUUGAUACAGUGGAUUCAAGUCAGUGAUUGCGUUCUUCUGUUAAAAUAAUCUGCUGAGGAAAAAAUGCCAUGUGCUAGAAGGGUGAGUCCCACUGUGAACAGGACACUUACUGUCGCUUUGACAUUCAGAGGGUCUUCAUGUAGAUUGUGUUGGCCCAUUUGCUCAGAACAACAUGUGAGGGGAAGUCACUGUUCCCAAGGGAAGUGUCGUGGGAUCCCCAGGCCUCUGCUCUUCUCAUUACGCUUCAUUGACGGUGACUAUUUAGUAUCAAUUGUGCUAUUUUUAUUGCACAAAAGCUUUUCGUAUGGACUUUAAGUUGGUGAAAAUCUUACUAUCCCAUUAGUUAAACACAGCCCUUAGUAUACCAUGCCGUGCUCCCCUUUACAUCUGCAGUUAGCAGAUACAUGUAAGGAGAAGGACAGUUGUAUUUUCAGACACCACCCCCCCCUUGCUCUGACUACAAGUCCAGGCUGUGAAGGGCAGAUGUGGGGCCCUGUCCCAGUGUUUGCUGCAGAGGCAGGAGUUGAACCCACCUGGUCUGAUACCAAAUCUAAUGCUCAUUUCACUAUAGCAGUGAAGCCUAAAAUCAGAUCUCAGAGGAAAGCAGAAAAUUUGAGGUUUCUUUUCUUUGAAAAAGAGAAAAAGGAAGUUUUGUAAGAAUAUCUUUAUUUUCGGGGCAUCUGACUCUGAUCCCAGAGUCAUGGGAUUGAGCCCCACAUCAGGGGCUUGGAAUCUGCUCAGGAUUCUCUCCCUCUGCUCCUUUGCUCACGCAUGCACUCAUUCUCUCUCUCUCUCUCUCUCUCUCUCUCUCUCACUCUCAAAAAAAAAAAAUUUUUUUAAUAUUGUUAGAAAAAAUGAAUAUCUUGUACUUUUAUAUCUGAAGGAUCAGUAUACAGCUUUAAAAAGUUUUUUAAACUUAGCAGUAAAAAGGAACAAAUUACUCCUACAUGCAACAACACAAAUGCAUUUCAAAACAUAUUAGGUUGUAUGACCCAAGCUUAAAAGGCUAUAUACAUACAUCUAACUUUAUUUACAUAACAUCUUGGAGGAGACAGAACUAGGGAAUAACACGGCUUGGUGGUUGCCGUCCUGCUCAUGGUGGAGCUUGUGUGACUCUGUGAGGCAAAAUGUGCAAAACUCUACACCAAAAAUGAUAAUUACACUUUCACUUUUAAAAACAAAAAGAAAAGGAAAAGCAUCACUAUAUUUUCCCAAAUACGAAUAUUUUAAACAUUAAAAUGUUUAAACCCUAAUCUGGAUUCUAUUAUGAUGGUUACAGGAAUCCAUACCAUGUGUCAACAUUUGUAGAACUAUGCACCUAAAGAAAAAUAAUUUUGGUAAACGAUCACUUUUUAAAAACGUUAAAAACAAAAGCAGAAGAAACCACAACCAGGGGCACCUGGGUGGGUCAGUCAGUUGUGUCCGACUUCGGCUCAGGUCAUGAUAAAACAGUUUGUGGGUUCGAGCCCCGUGUCAGGCUCUGUGCUGACAGACCAGAGCCUGGAGCCUGCUUCGGAUUCUGUGUCUCCCCCGCCCCACUCCGCUUGUACUCUGUGUCUCUCAAAAAUGAAUAAACAUUAUAAAAAAGAAGAAGAAGAAGAAGAAACUGUAACCAGCCUAAAAUUGGGGCAUGUCACAUGAGAGACCAGUGCCUUGGCCCCUUGCAGAGAGCAGCUGUGAGCAGCCCAACUUUACCUGCAAACCUUUGUUUCCUGUUUUUCAUACCUUCUGCCCCUUUUACCUCUUGAAAAAAAUACAUUUCAAAACAUGUUACCCCCCCCCAAAAAAAAACCUUUAAAAAAUCUUCAAAACAUUUAUCUUUAUUUUUUAGAAAAGCAAGAAGAGCAAAUCUUGAGGUUUGGUUAAGCAGAUAUAAGGGUCUGAAUCAGCAAGAGACUUUUAAACGUGCCAGACCAGGUCCUCCCUCGUCUUUGAAUGAGGACCACGUGGUGGUGGGGGUGGGUGGGGGUGGCAGAAUUGUUGGAAACUGCUCACUACCUGAAGGUGCCAGUUCUCCCUUCUGUAGAGUAAUACUGCAAGGUGUCUUUGCAUAAAUCUAAUUUUUAAGCUUAAGAAUAGUUUCUGUUUUGUUCAAAGAUUUCUUACUGGGUACCUCCUCCUUGCUAGAAAUUUUGUCUUUAUAUGUUUACGGCCCCAAGUCAAUAUGUGGUGCUUCAGUUAAAGGGUGGCUUGGGUGGAACAUUGGCUCAGGUUACGGGUACAUUUUCCAAAAGCCAUUAAAUUCUAGCUUUUUGUUUGUAUAUUUUUUAAGGAGAUAAAGUUCCUCCAAUUAAACCAAAUGCUGGAGAAGAGUCUGUCAUGAAUCUUGAUAAGUUGAGGUUUGCUGAUGGAACCCUAAGAACAUCAGAACUACGACUCAACAUGCAGAAGGUAAGCACCUGUGCUCUGAAGUGAGCAGGCCAUUGUGUCCACAGUCCUGUGCCAGGCCCGGGUUGAGUAGCAAGAGGACACAUUGCACACAGAAGGCCGCAGGUAGCAGCCCAGGGCGGAAACUACAACUUCUACAUCCCACCAUGCUUGUAUGUGGCUCCUCAGACCCUCUCUUCUGUUGUGUGUAUGUCACAGCCUGAAGGGGGAGAGAGAUUGGAAGGUCCAAGAAGGUCCCGGCUGGGAACUUCCUUAUACCAGGCUUCCUGAAAGCCCAGCACAUCUCAUUGCCAAGAAGUUAAUCCUAUCAUCACACCCAGCUUCUAGCAACUCUGGGAAAUGUCUUUAAACUGGGGCCAUUGUAUCCCCUAAAUAAAGUCAGGAAGAGUGGAGAGUGUGGGUUUUGGGAGGAAAUGGUAAUCUGUGCACUAGUUGUCGUCACAGUAUUUAUCUUCUAGAUCAGCAUGUCUGAUGGGAUGUUCUCUGAGGAUGGGAACAUGUGUCUUUGACCACAUGUGACUGUGCAGCAUGUGAAAUGUGGCUAGUGUGACUAAGAACUGAGUUUUAUUCAGUUUCAAUUUAAUAUAAAUCGCUACACAUGGUUACUGCAUCGGAUAACGCAGGGUUAGAUCAAUAAAAGUAGUAUGUAAAACAGCUAGGGAUCCAUCAAGUUCUUCGACUACAGAGAUCCUUGGUCCAUGAGUAAGAUCUCUGUCCACUUGAAAUUAUUUGUAAGAAUUUGUGGAGGCAUUUUCCAAAAAGAAGCCACCCUUUGCUUUAGUCACAUUCUGAUAAGGAGUCCAGUGGCACAAAUGCUCACCACCAAAAGUUGCACCAUGCAGCUUUUAUAGGACGGUGUGGUUCUGUGUUCAGGUGAGACUGGGCUUCAGGGAGGCUUCCUGGAAAGGUAAGGCAAAUAGCAUGUGUGAAGGACAAAGGUAUGUUUAAGGAAACCAGUCAAGUGAUCUGUGCAGGACUUUUGUGGGGUACUGAUACCAGGAGUUGGGAGGCCAGCUAGGACAGAUGUAAUCAUUGUGCUGGAUAGUAGGAACUUCCGUUUGGAUAUGGAAAUGGUGAAUCCAUGAGAGAUUUUGAAAUAGGAAACCUUAGAGGUAUUCCCACUAAAUAAGGUACGUACAGAUCUUUGACUUACAAUGGGGUUAUGUCCUGAAAAAAUGCAUUUAACACACUUGUCUUACUGAACAUUCGCCUAGCUGGCCUUAAAUGUGCUCAGAGCACCUAGGUUAGCUUGCAGUAGGGAAAGUUCAUCUGACAUGAAGCCUAUUUUAUAACAGGGUGUGGUCUGUCUCACAUAAUUUAUUGAAUACUGUACUGGAAGUGAAAAACAGUGUUUGUGUGAGUGGAGAUGGUUAUUGAGCCUCAGGAUCAUGGGGCUCAGUGGGAGCUGCAGCUGCUACCACCACCCAGAGUCAUGAGAGUGCACCCUAAUGCACACUGCUAGCCUGGGAAAAGGUGACAGUUGCCGGUACGGUUUCUCUGAAUGAAGAUCCCUUUUGUUUCUUUGUAAAGUUGAAAAAUCAUUGCUCAAACCCUCAUAGGUUAGGGACCAUCUGAAUUGGUAUCUGCUGUGUGCCAGGCAGUAUUCUAGAUGCCCGAGUCAUCCAAAGAAAACAAAAAAUCCUGCCCUCGUGGAAUGUACAUUUGAGUUGGGGGACGGAGUAAUCAUUUUGCUGAUUCCAGUAAAUACAGUAAGAAAGAGAAAAGAAAUGACGAAUGUAUUGAAAAGGAGUAGACAAAAUUAUUGCUUACUGAUACAAUUAAAAAUUCCAAGAUGGUAAGUGGAAAACUAAUAAAAACAAGAAUGAAGUAAAGCAUCUGGAUAAAAGGUUCAUAUAUAAAAAUGAGUAGCUUUCCAGUAUACCUGCAGUAAUCCAUUUGAAAAUGAUCUUCACAGUGCAGCCAAAAAGUUUAAAAUACCUUGAAUAAACCUAACCCUAAAGAGUAUGACAACAUGAGCGCUGAAGAACAUAAAAGAAUGUUUUAAUUAACAUUUACUAGAUUCUGAGAUAGCUUUUUCCCUUUGCUUUUGCUGAAAAGCCAAGACGUUUGAUGGUAUGCUUUAUAAUUUUUAAAUUAUGUAUCAUUCUAAAGAAAUAGAUGAGGUAUCUGUUAAAUAGAACUAAGUCAACAAGCUGUGUUAGUCUGUGAUAGAGAAGGAGACAUCUAGAUCAGUUGCAUAGAGUCCAGAAGUAGGCCCAGGCACACGUUGUGAUUAAGCAUGGGAUAAAGGGGUUUUUCAAGUGUGAUGAAAGGUCAUUCGGUGAGUGAUAGGAAACAAAGGUAGAUCCUAAAAUAAAUUUCAGUUUUAUUUCAUGUCCCAUUUCUUAUGAGCAUAAACAAGCAAACCAUACAGGAAUUUGACACAUGAGGAGUUUUUACAGUAUUUAACCAGAAGUCCACCAGGGAACGCUCCCAGGCUUCUCACUUCUCCCUCUACUUUAUGACCAUCCACUCCAGGCUCACUGCAGACCACCUCAUAAUCUUAGCACUUCUUAGUUUGUGUCAGCAAGGAGCCACCUGCUGCUCCUAGAACAUUUACCACCAGAUCUCGAGGGUGGAGCAAGUCUAGGAACUGCUGUCUCCUUGGGAAUUCGAAGGUGGAACCCUUACACCUUUCUGCCACCACUCAGUACAUUAUGCCUCAGAAGUAAGUCUGCUUGGAAUCACAGAUCUUGGCCAAGUUCCACAAACUGCCUUCCCUAAAUGCACAAUGUUCCAUUUUAAAUAACGGACAUGGAUUUAAGACAUGUACUUAAUAGGAACAUAGAAUCAUGUUUUAAAAGCAUUUAUCAGGGGCACCUGGGUGGCUCAGUCAAUUGAGUGACUGACUUCGGCUCAGGUUAUGAUCUCACUGCUCGUGGGUUCAAGCCCUGCAUCAGGCUCUGUGCUGACAGCUCAGAGCCUGGAUCCUGUGUCGGAUUCUGUAUCUCCCUCUCUCUCUCUCUACCCCUUCCCCAUUCACACUCUAUCUCUUAAAAAAUAAACAUUAAAAAAAUUUAAAAAGCAUUGGGGUGCCUGGGUGGCUCAGUCAAUUGAGCGUCUGACUUCGGCUUAGGUCAUGGUCUCGCAGUUCGUGGGUUCAAGCCCCACGUCAGGAUCUGUGCUGACAGUUCAGCCUGGAGCCUGCUUCAGAUCCCGUGUCUGCCUCUCUCUCUGCCCCUUCCCUGCUCACUGUGUCUCAGAAAUGAAUAAACGUUAAAAAAAUUAAUAAAAUAAAUUAAUAAAAAAGCAUUAAUCAGAACUUCAUUUAACAUCUAUUUAUGAUAAAACUCUCAACAAGGCAGGUAUAGAGGGAAUGUACCUCAGUGUAAUCAGGGCCAUAUGUGACAAGCCCACAGCUACUGUCACACUCAGUGGUGAAAAGCUAAAAGCUUUUCGUCUUAACAUAGGAGCAAGACAAUGUUCACUCUUACCACUUCAUUCAACACAAUACUGGAAGUCCUAGCUAGAGCAGUCAGGCAGGAAAGAGAAAUAAGAGGUGUCCAAAUUGGAAAGGAAGAAGUAAAAGUCACUAUUUAUAGAUGUAUCAGAUCAUAUUUGACACAGACUCCACCAAAAAAACUUAGACCUGGUAAGUGAAUUCAGUAGUGUUGAAAUAUGCAAAAUCAAUACAUAAAAAUCUGUUGUUUCUGUAUACAAAGAAUAAAUCUUCUGAAAGAGAAAUUAAGAACAUAAUCCCAUUUACAAUUGUUUCAGAAAGAAUAAAAUACCUGGGAAUAAUAAAUUUAACCAAGGAGGAGAAAAAUCAGUACACUGAAAACAGUAAAACAGUUUUCUCGUAUAGAAUGGGAGAAAAUAUUUGCAAAUUAUAUGUCUGAUAAGGGGCUAAUAUCCCAAAAUAUAUAAAGAACUCCUACAACUCAAUAGUGCAAAAACAGCCUAAGAAAUGUUCAGAAGGGCUGAAUGGAUGUUUCUCCAAAGAAGACCUAUGGAUGGCCAACAGAUACAUGAAAAGAUGCUCAAUGUCACUCAUCAUCAGGGAAAUGCAGAUCAGAACCACAAUGAGCCAUGGCUGGCUGGCUUAGCCAGUGGAGCGUGCAACUCCUGGUCUUGGGCUUGCGAGUUCGAGCCUUGUGUUAAAAAUAAAAUCUUUUUUGGGGUGCCUGGGUGGCUCAGUCGGUUGAGCGGCCAACUUCGGCUCAGGUCAUGAUAUCGCGGUCCGUGAGUUCGAGCCCCGCGUCGGGCUCUGUGCUGACAGCUCAGAGCCUGGAGCCUGUUUCAGAUUCUGUGUCUCCCUCCCUCUCUGACCCUCCCCCGUUCAUGCUCUGUCUCUCUCUGUCUCAAAAAUAAAUAAACGUUUUAAAAAAAAAUUUUUUUUAAAUAAAAUCUUUUUUAAGAAGGUGAAAUGCAUAAGAAAAAAAUCUAAAGGGUUUAAUGGUUCUUGGCAUGGCUUUUCAUAUGAAUUGAAGAUUUACAAAUGGUAUUUUGUGUUACAGUCGAUGCAAAAUCAUGCCGCAGUGUUCCGUGUGGGAAGUGUGUUACAGGAAGGUUGUGAGAAAAUCAGCCAGCUCUAUGGAGACCUAAAACAUCUGAAGACAUUUGACCGAGGUGAGCAUUUCUGUGGGCCCCUGCACACAAUUGGGGUGCUGGGCAUUUGCAAGGGAGGCUGCCUCAGGGUCCUGUCCAUCCCACUUAGUGCUGACUUACCCGUCCUUGCUAUUUGUGUGGAUGCUGGCAAGCCCAUAGCUACAGCCUGGAGUACCCAUCUGACUGGAUCCUGUCUCUCAUGGGUGCCUUGUGUGUCCUCAGGAAUGGUCUGGAACACCGACCUGGUGGAGACCCUAGAGCUGCAGAACCUGAUGCUUUGUGCACUUCAGACCAUUUAUGGAGCGGAGGCUCGGAAGGAGUCACGUGGUGCUCAUGCCAGGGAAGAUUAUAAGGUGCGCCUUCACAACAUACCCUAUUUGCACAUCAUGCCUUCUCUCACCUGGCCUUGCUUAGUCCCUAACCCUGUACUUUCUCUGCAUUUCACUCAAUUUUCCCAAAAGUAAAUUUUAAAAAGUAUGCCCUUUUUUUCCCCCCCUGAUAACUUUUACACUUUGGUAUCACUGUGUUUACUACCAAUGUGACCUUUUUCUUGGUUUGGAUCAGUAUCUGCUGCUGCCAGUAGCACCCUGAGCAAAACACACCUGAACUUUACUUGGUCAAAGGUUACUGUGCAGUCCGAGUAUUAUUGCCAGAAAAUGCUAACUUACUGACUUAAAAUGAUGAGGAAAUCAUCAUUUGAGACCUGAUCUCAUCUUGGGUCACUUUUUAAAAAAUUUUUAAUGUUUGGUUUUUUUUAAUGUUUAUUUUUGAGAGAGAGACAGAGCACAAGUUGGGGAGGGACAGAGAGAGGGAGACACAGAAUCCGAAGCAGGCUCCAGGCCCUGAGCUGUCAGCACAGAGCCUGACACGGGGCUCGAACUCAUGAACUGAGAGAUCAUGACCUGAGCCGACAUUGGAUGCUCAACUGACUGAGUCACCCAGGCGCCCCAUUGGGUCACUACUUUUUUAAAUGACCUGGUUUUUAUGCAGAGUACAGUUGUCAGAUUUUUCCAGAACAGAGCACUCAGCAUAUGACAGCAAAACAUCAAGGAAAUGGGCACUCGGGAACAAACACGAAUUUAGGAUGGAAUGUCGGCAGGACCCGAGCCACUUUCCAGACAGACAGGCUUUGGUCAGGGACAGUAUUAGUGUUCCUGGUAGCAGGCUCACCAGUCAGCUGUGAAACUUUGUUAAUUUACCUUCCACUGACUGGAGCUGGAUUAGAUUAAUAUUAAUUAAGCACGUUUGUCACAUGUACUGAGAACUAGAAGCUUCUCUAGGCUGUUGGUUGGCAGUUUGUGUGAUGAGAUGAAUGAGUUUUCAUUCAGUGUUAGCAGAUAAGCAGGUGGAAGCUGCUUCCCCUGGGAGAGCUCACCUGUAGGUAUGUGUUCAGAAAUAAGGGAAGGUGGGGCACCUGGGGGGGGGGGGGUGGUGCGGUGCUCAGUUAAGCAUCUGACUUUUGAUUUCAUCUCAGGUCAUGAUCUCACCAUUUGUGAGAUCAAACCUUGUGUCGGGAUUCUCUCUCCUCUGUCGCUCCACCCCUCUCCCCCGCUCAUGCUCCUUUCUCUUAUAAAAUAAAUAAACAAAAAGGGAAAGAAGGUGCUAGCGCCACUUGCUUGCCUUUCCCCACCACCACACUCACCUCACUCAGCAGAAACAGAAGCAAAGUGUUUUUAUUUUAUUUAAUUAAUUAAUUUUAUUUUUAAGUAAUUUGUCUCUACACCCAGCAUGGGGCUGAAACGCUUAACCCCGAGAUCAAAAAUUGUGUGCUCCACCGACUGAGCCAGCCAAGUGCCCCUGGUUUUCAUUUUAAGAGGCUCUUGUACAUUCUUACUCAUUUCUAUGUGCCGGGUAUUCCUUAAUAGUGUUCAGCUUCUCUUUGAGAGUUUUUGAACAAAAUUUUAAUAUAAUUGCUAGAACUGAAACAUUUCAAUAAAAGCUGAAAGAAGAUGAAAGUUCCCAGAGUACAGAGCAGAAAUACAAAGUAUUUGAUAAACUUUUAAGUGCAUAAAAGAUCUGAUUUCCACACCCAACCACCCACUGGUUGUAGAAAUGGAGCUCUGAGCUCAUGGUGCUGCAGACCCACUGCUAGCUCUGUGGCCUCAGUGGAUUCUACCCUUGUUGGGACCUGCGCCGUGGAGGCCCUGGAGUGAGGAACGGCCUGUCUGGGAGCCCCAGGGUGGACAGGUCCUCUGGAGGACUGACCACUGGCAGAUGGAUCACAUGUCUCAUCUCUCCAUCCCACCUGCAUUUGGGACUCAGUUGCACUGUUUUUCACAUUGUGUGUUGUUUUAUUUUUUUUUUUAAUUUUUUUUUCAACGUUUAUUUAUUUUUGGGACAGAGAGAGACAGAGCAUGAACGGGCGAGGGGCAGAGAGAGAGGGAGACACAGAAUCGGAAACAGGCUCCAGGCUCUGAGCCAUCAGCCCAGAGCCUGACGCGGGGCUCGAACUCGCGGACCGCGAGAUCGUGACCUGGCUGAAGUCGGACGCUUAACCGACUGCGCCACCCAGGCGCCCCUCACAUUGUGUGUUGUUUUAGAUCAGAUCUACACAAAAUGGUUUUUCAUUAGGGAUUGUAGAAGGAAGGGGCAUGGGUUGAAAAAUGGACUAGGAAUGUCCCAGCUCAGAACAAGGUCUGGUUGGGUCAGUGGAUACCUCCUUGUUGGGUGGGAUCUAGGAGGAUUCAUAGCAGACUGGUCUCUCAUGUAUCGUUUCAAUGAGUUUGCCAUAUUUUCCGGUUAAAUUGCUGUUAGAGAAGUAAGAAACUUGAAGUGUGAUUGUUAGUGGUAUUUUCUGAAAUACGCUUACUUUCUCUGGCCUCAGGAGCGGAUUGACGAGUAUGAUUACUCCAAGCCCAUCCAGGGGCAGCAGAAGAAGCCAUUUGAGGAACACUGGAGGAAGCACACCCUUUCCUAUGUCAACAUCAAGACUGGGAAGGUAUAUGGGGGCAUGUUCUGUUCACAUAGUGCUGACAAAUACGCUGUCCCACAUGUUCUAGAGUUCAGCAUAUGACGGACUGG